RNAcentral lists this ribosomal RNA (460 nucleotides) under uncultured bacterium. Its description in RNAcentral is "partial 16S ribosomal RNA". It matches the Rfam family "Bacterial small subunit ribosomal RNA", at positions 338 to 795 of the family's 1533-position model. The record is from RNAcentral.
CCUACGGGCGGCAGCAGUGAGGCAUAUUGGUCAAUGGACGAGAGUCUGAACCAGCCAAGUAGCGUGAAGGAUGACUGCCCUAUGGGUUGUAAACUUCUUUUAUAUGGGAAUAAAACGAUCCACGUUUGGGAUUUUGUAUGUACUAUAUGAAUAAGGACCGGCUAACUCCGUGCCAGCAGCCGCGGUAAUACGGAGGAUCCGCGCGUUAUCCGGAUUUAUUGGGGUUAAAGGGAGCGUAGGUGGAUUGUUAAGUCAGUUGUGAAAGUUUGCGGCUCAACCGUAAAAUUGCAGUUGAAACUGGCAGUCUUGAGUACAGUAGAGGUGGGCGGAAUUCGUGGUGUAGCGGUGAAAUGCUUAGAUAUCACGAAGAACUCCGAUUGCGAAGGCAGUUCACUGGACUGCAACUGACACUGAGGCUCGAAAGUGUGGGUAUCAAACAGGAUUAGAUACCCGUGUAGUC